UAUUUCAUGUUUUUAUUUCAAAAGAAAAAAGGAUACCAAGAAGCAGAAGAAUGAAGCAGUUAAAACCAGCAAAGCUGCAAAGUAGGAAAGAAAGCUGAGGGAGAGAUUGAUCCGAUUUCAACGAUGUGGCCACUUAAUGCAAACACAGGGGUCUGAUGCUGCAAACCUAAGUCACAUGAGUCCAGUGACUUCAGCAGGUCCACUGAUCCACCACAGUGACAGGGCCAGGCCCCUUCCUGCUGAAUCCUAACUUUACACAUUCUAGACACAUGUCAUGCACAUACAGGUUACACUUUAUGGUUACAUGAAAUUGCAUGCAAUUCACACAGAGAAUCAUUUUGAAGGCACUGUAUUUUGCAGCAGGAGCUGCUACUUUCUGGCAAGUCCUUCCUAGGUUGGCUCACAAGUGGUCCUCCUUUUUAUUUAUUCCUAUAUGAAACUUUGGUCCAAAAAUCAGGUGCAGUCUGAUCCUACCCUCCCAGCUGUUUUAGUUUCAUGUCUCACCUUCUCUUCCACGUUCCCUUCUUAAACGUAGAUGUCAAGCUUAGAAGAUGUUUCCUGACAAUGAGAUCCUGUUUAAUUCAGAUUUUCAAACAACUUGAGUCAAGCAAGCAGGAGCUUAUAGUAUGUUGAUUUAAAACAAGUUGUUACCAGUUUCCCUUACCCUUGAAUUCGGCAAGGCCCAUUAAUUCACAAAUUCCAUGAUAAGAUACAUGAGGUUCUGUAUGCAUAGUAAAUGAUUUCUAGUUACAAUUAAAAUACAGCCUUGUAUAUGUUUAAGUCAACCUUAACUUUUAAAACAUGACUUCAGUAUACGCAACCUUAGGCUCACUUCCAGAUUAUAAAGUCCCAUUCAUGGGGUGCAAAUGUUUACAUUGUUAGCAAAGAAAAUGAUUGGAAUCAGUCUUUCUGAACGGCAGAAUGUGCUUCCAGGUUGAAGCACAAUGGAGAAUGUACUGAAGCCACCACAGAGAUGCUGGUAAUUCAAACUGUGAAAGCACGUGGCGCAGAGGAAACUGACACAGAACAGCACACCACUGGUGCUUUAUGCAACACCACUGACCCCAAGAUGGUCACUCCAUUGAUUUUUCCGCAUUGUUUACAUCCAGGAUGCAUGCUGUCCAGUGCAAUAGCGUCUAUGACUAUAAAACAACUAAAAGCUGCACUUAAGAUGGGAGAGCCAAACUCAGAUCUUUUUUCUCCUUCUCUUCAAAGAUCAAAAGAAGAAUAAACCAAAAAAGAUUAAAAAAAAAGAAUAAACCAACCAGUAGCUGCCGAGAAUACAGUGAAAGAGGAAAUUCAGAACUCAACUUUAUCGGGGAUGGGCACGGUCGCUUAUGCCUGUAAUCCCAACACUUUGGGAGGCCAAGGUGGGUGGAUCACCUGAGGUCAGGAGUUCGAGACCAGCCUGGCCAAUACGGUGAAACCCUGUCUCUACUAAAAAUACAAAAAUUAGCCGGGUGUGGUGGCGCAUGCCUGUAGUCCCAGCUACUAAGGAGGCUGAGGUAGGAGAAUCGCUUGAACCCGGG
Molecule: long non-coding RNA, 1529 nt
Filed under: Homo sapiens (human)
Lineage: Eukaryota; Metazoa; Chordata; Mammalia; Primates; Hominidae
Description: HSALNT0022951
Source: RNAcentral